This 249-nucleotide ribosomal RNA is filed under the name uncultured bacterium. RNAcentral's name for it is "partial 16S ribosomal RNA". It matches the Rfam family "Bacterial small subunit ribosomal RNA", at positions 86 to 334 of the family's 1533-position model. The record is from RNAcentral.
GGGUUGUUAGUGGCGAACGGGUGAGUAAUACGUGAGUAACCUGCCCUCUUCUUUGGGAUAAGCUCUGGAAACGGGGUGUAAUACUGGAUAUUCCUGUCUGGACGCAUGUUUGGGUGGGGAAAGGUUUUUCUGGUGGGGGAUGGGCUCUCGGCCUAUCAGCUUGUUGGUGGGGUGAUGGCCUACCAAGGCGUCGACGGGUAGCCGGCCUGAGAGGGUGACCGGUCACACUGGGACUGAGAUACGGCCCAG